This 253-nucleotide ribosomal RNA is filed under the name uncultured bacterium. RNAcentral's name for it is "partial 16S ribosomal RNA". It matches the Rfam family "Bacterial small subunit ribosomal RNA", at positions 524 to 776 of the family's 1533-position model. The record is from RNAcentral.
UACAGAGGGUGCGAGCGUUAAUCGGAAUUACUGGGCGUAAAGCGUGCGUAGACGGCUAUCUAAGUCGGGUGUGAAAGCCCCGGGCUCAACCUGGGAAUUGCAUUCGAGACUGAAUAGCUAGGGUACGGUAGAGGGAAGUGGAAUUUCCGGUGUAGCGGUGAAAUGCGUAGAUAUCUGGAGGAACAUCAGUGGCGAAGGCGACACCCUGGACUCAUACUGACACUGAGGUGCGAAAGCGUGGGGAGCAAACAGG